GGAGAGUAAAAGACAAGGAUUCUACAUAUACGUCUCCAUGGUUUCCCUAAUUUGUUUCAAUGACAAAGGCUACCAAGAUCCAUUGCGCCAAGAAGAAAAAUUAAGAGGAAGAUAGAAAAGAAGAACGAAAGGGAAGGCUUAAAGGGGAGAAAAAAAGCUUUAACGAGAACUUAGCUACAGGGGGAAGGGGAGAGGUGAUGGUGAUUAAAAAAUUAUUUUUUAUUGAAUAUUUAAUGCCAUGUUAGCAACAUUGGACAGUAUUAGGGAAAAAUCCUCAAUUUGCUUACAGCACCAAACCACAAGAUCUUACUUGAAAAGGUGUCAAACCACAAGGUACUUUUUGUAAUUUCCCCA
This 354-nucleotide unclassified non-coding RNA is filed under the name Hevea brasiliensis (rubber tree). The record is from RNAcentral. Lineage: Eukaryota; Viridiplantae; Streptophyta; Magnoliopsida; Malpighiales; Euphorbiaceae.